UACGUAGGGUGCAAGCGUUGUCCGGAAUUAUUGGGCGUAAAGAGCUCGUAGGCGGUCUGUCGCGUCGGCUGUGAAAUCCCGGAGCUCAACUCCGGGUCUGCAGUCGAUACGGGCAAACUGGAGUACUGCAGGGGAGACUGGAGUUCCUGGUGUAGCGGUGAAAUGCGCAGAUAUCAGGAGGAACACCGGUGGCGAAGGCGGGUCUCUGGGCAGUAACUGACGCUGAGGAGCGAAAGCGUGGGGAGCGAACAGG
This 253-nucleotide ribosomal RNA is filed under the name uncultured bacterium. Its description in RNAcentral is "partial 16S ribosomal RNA". It matches the Rfam family "Bacterial small subunit ribosomal RNA", at positions 524 to 776 of the family's 1533-position model. The record is from RNAcentral.